Molecule: ribosomal RNA, 251 nt
Filed under: uncultured bacterium
Lineage: Bacteria
Description: partial 16S ribosomal RNA
Rfam family: Bacterial small subunit ribosomal RNA
Source: RNAcentral
UACAGAGGAGCCAAGCGUUGUCCGGAUUGACUGGGCGUAAAGCGCACGCAGGCGGACGCGCGCGUGGGGUGUGAAAUCUGGCCGCUUAACGGCCAGGCGCCAUCCCAUACGGCGCGUCUGGAGCAAUGCAGAGGUCGGUGGAAUUGCCGGUGUAGUGGUGAAAUGCGUAGAUAUCGGAAGAACAUCAGUGGCGAAAGCGGCUUCCUGGACCAGCACCGACGUCAGGCACGAAAGCGUGGGGAGCAAACAGG